This 564-nucleotide ribosomal RNA is filed under the name uncultured fungus. RNAcentral's name for it is "eukaryotic LSU rRNA". The stretch from base 205 to 359 matches the Rfam family "5.8S ribosomal RNA". Lineage: Eukaryota; Fungi. The record is from RNAcentral.
AAGUCGUAACAAGGUCUCCGUAGGUGAACCUGCGGAGGGAUCAUUAUCGAGUGAGGGCGCCUCCGCGCCCGACCUCCAACCCUCUUGUCGAUCCAGUACCGUGUUGCCUCGGGGGCGACCCGACGUUCGCGUCGGGCGCCCCGAGUGGACCACCAUCGAAACACUGCAUUGUCAUGCGUCGGUUUAUUAUGAUGAAUCAAUCAAAACUUUCAACAACGGAUCUCUUGGUUCUGGCAUCGAUGAAGAACGCAGCGAAAUGCGAUAAGUAAUGUGAAUUGCAGAAUUCAGUGAAUCAUCGAAUCUUUGAACGCACAUUGCGCCCCUUGGCUAUUCCGAGGGGCAUGCCCGUUCGAGCGUCAUUUACACCACUCAAGCCUGGCUUGGUAUUGGGCGUCCGGGAUGCACCCGCGACCUCUAAUGUCUCGUUCGGCUGGAACACGGCUGGAAUCUCAGCGUUGUGCAAUCAAAUCCGCUCUGCAGGAACAUGGACUGGCCAUCGCGCCGUUGAAACAUCUCUAUCUACAGGUUGACCUCGGAUCGGGUAGGGAUACCCGCUGAACUUAA